UACAUGUUGGAAAGUGGAUGACUACACAUAAAUUUCCCUGUGGAAGGUUACAGAGUCACCCUCUUCAGGAUCUGGUGGGAGCUGCUGCUGUCCCAGUUUCACAGAGGAAACUGAGGCACAAGAAAGAUAAAUAGUCAACUUCAAGCGGCUACUUCAGGUACAAGGGGUUUAUUUCCAGAAAGUUUGAGUUCAGAGCCCUGUGGCAC
RNAcentral lists this long non-coding RNA (206 nucleotides) under Chinchilla lanigera (long-tailed chinchilla). RNAcentral describes it as "lncRNA (ENSCLAG00000023680.1)". Lineage: Eukaryota; Metazoa; Chordata; Mammalia; Rodentia; Chinchillidae. The record is from RNAcentral.